This is an RNA transcript of Stegodyphus dumicola, 2127 nucleotides long. It is a transcript of the gene named xaa-Pro aminopeptidase 3-like, with no coding region annotated. Lineage: Eukaryota; Metazoa; Arthropoda; Arachnida; Araneae; Eresidae. The record is from RefSeq and is a predicted model, not a curated record.
UUUUCGCUCUGCCAUCAGAAAGUCUUGAAAGCUGCAAAACACGACAUCUGUGUAUUCUGUCUGUUAGUAAAUAAAUGUACCGGAUUGAAGAUGAAUUAUUUAAAAAAAAAUAUUUUAGUGACCUGGAAAUGGGAACGCAUGAAAGCGAUUUCAUAUAAUUUGACAAGGAAGUUCAAUUCUAGAAAUAAUCUUUGCUAUGCUCAACCGACUCCUGUUUCUCAUGCCCAUUUGCUAAAGUCGAACGAAGUCACUCCCGGAUUAUCAGUGGAUGUUUAUCAAUGCAGGAGGACACGUUUAAUGCAAGUGAUCUCUCAAAUGACUUUUGCUGAAAUGAAUAAAAGUGCACAUAUUGUGAUUGUGCCAUCGGGAUCUGUAGUUUAUAUGAGUGAAAAUAUACCAUAUCCCUUUCGUCAGAAUACUGAAUUCCUAUACUUAAGUGGUUUUAAAGAAGCAAACUGUGUUUUAAUUUUGCACACUGUGUUGAACAAAUCUCCUGCUUACGAAUGUACCCUUUUUGUGCCAAAGCAAACAGCUCAUUCAACGAGAUGGGAAGGCUUAAAAAUGGACUUGAAUAAUACCAAAAAGUUCUUAGGCAUUGACAGAACUAUGUAUGUAGAUGAUAUUGAAAACUUUCUGCAGUCUUUUGCAGAAUCGAAUAAUAAAUUUGUAUUGUGGUAUGAUUACUUAAGUUUACCUUUUAAACCAAUUCAUGAUAUAAUGCGGGAUUUUAUGGCACAUUAUAACACUCACUUUUCUCUUGAAUCCCCACGUAAACUUCUGCAUCAACUUCGUGUUAUCAAAUCUAGUUCUGAAGCUGAAUUAAUGAGAAAAACUUGUAAGAUAGCAGCAGAAUCUAUGAGAGAGGUGAUGCAGUUUUCUCGUCCUCUAAUUUCAGAAGCACAUUUGUAUGCAAAGAUGGAUUAUGAGUGUCGUAUGAGGGGUGCAGAUCAUCUUGCCUUUCCUCCUGUAGUAGCUGGUGGAGACAGAGCAAAUACAAUUCAUUAUAACGAAAAUAAUCAAAUUAUAAAUGAUGGUGAUAUGGUUUUAAUGGAUGCUGGCUGUGAAUGUCAUGGUUAUAGUAGUGAUAUGGCACGAACAUGGCCAGUAAAUGGAAAGUUUUCAGAACCACAAAAAGAACUUUAUGAAGUUGUUCUAUCAGUACAAGAAGAAUUAAUUAAAUUAUGUGAGAAGAAACUAUCUCUUGAUCAUUUAUUCAAAGUUAUGUGUGAAAACUUGGGAAAGGGCUUUCAGGAUUUAGGACUUAUACCAACAACUGCUUCGAGAGAAGAAGUUGCUCAGGUCUUCAUUUUGGAUCCAAAAACCCCUUCACUCAGACGAUUAAAGAAGUCAAACAUUGCUUAGCAAAAGAGCUUUAAAGUUCUCUUAAUGCUUAAUACCAAGACACAGUGCUGAAGCUUUUCUAACAUUGUAUCCAAAUGUACAGGUUUUUAUUCCUUCCACUGAACACCACUUUCUUAACCCAACCAACGGAUCAAGCAGUCAAAAAAAUCAAGCGUAUUAUCCUUUUACAUCUUUGCAAAUAAACAAGAUGAAGGAAAGCAUGACUCACUAAUGGUUUUGGGAAACAAUUCGACAUAAGACACUGCAUAGAACAUUUGAAUUCAUAUGGGAACAAGUGAAUUUCAUCAACAAUGAAUGCUUUCUGCCAUUAGCUCUGGGCAGAAGUUGCCAGCAAUUUUAAAGGAAUCCAUCAACUGAAAAUGAAGCCAACGAAAUCAUACAAUCUGCAAAAGCAAUUGGCAGUAAAGGACUUUCAGAGAGGGAGGGAGGAAAAAUCAAAGAAUUCAUUAUGAGAUGAAAAAUUGGAUGAUCUUAUAACAUUAACAGGCAGUGAAAGCAACAAUAGUAAAGAAAAUAAAGAUCCUUUAGUGGACAAAAAGUUAAACAAAUGUUAAAAAAUUCACAGGAAUGAUUUUGUUGUGGAGUUUGACCCAAAUGAAAAAAGAAGAGGAUGCUUUUUAAGAGGCAGCAUACGAGUUCUGCCCACACCAUGUUAGCCACUACUUAGGGAUGGAUGUUCAUGAUACAAAUCUAAUUUCCCGUGGAAUUAAACUUUUGCCUGGAAUGGUAGUCACCAUUGAACCUGGCGUGUAUGUUUCACCAAAU